This 905-nucleotide long non-coding RNA is filed under the name Cricetulus griseus (Chinese hamster). RNAcentral's name for it is "lncRNA (ENSCGRG00015038882.1)". The record is from RNAcentral. Lineage: Eukaryota; Metazoa; Chordata; Mammalia; Rodentia; Cricetidae.
CCACACCCAGUGUCUCCUCUGUUUUUCAUUUUUGUCUCUCUCUUUUGUGGGGGAAGGGAGGUUGAGACAGGGUUUCUCUGUGUAGCCCUGUGAUGGGGGUUGUCCUUCUGUAUGUUUCUCUUAUUGGUUAAUGAAUAAAACACUGUUUGGCCAAUGAGGCAGGAAGAUAGGCGGGACUAGGAGAAGAGGAGAAUUCUGGGAAAGGUAGGCAGAGAGAGUUGCCAUGUAGCAGUCAAAGGAGUUGCAGGUACAGCAUUUCCAGUGUGCUGCCUUAGUUUGGUGGAUUCCGUCUGCACGUGAUCUAUCCUGUCCCCGAACCUGCCUGCGCUCCUCAGGACGUCAGUUGUUAGAAUCAUAUAUGUCGUCGUGGAAGGGUUUCUCUGUGGCUUUGGAGGCUGUCCUGGAACAAGCUCUUGUAGACCAGGCUGGACUUGAACUCACAGAGAUCCGCCUGCCUCUGCCUCCCAAGUGCUGGGACUAAAGUCGUGCGCCACCAACGCCCAGCUUAACAAUCUUGUUUCUAAGUCAAAUAAAAAAAUCUGCAAAAGAAGAAGAAGAAGAAGAAGAAGAAGAAGAAGAAGAAGAAGAAGAAGAAGAAGAAGAAGAAGAAGGUGGUAAAAUCCGGAAGAUCAGGGGUUCAAGACCAGCCUGGACUGCAUGAUACUUGUUCCAAAAAGCCAAAUAAAUAAUUUGUUUUGUAAGAGAGAGUGGGAGAGGGCUGGAGAGAUGGCUCAGCGGUUAAGAACACUGACUGUUCUUUCAAAGGUCCUGAGUUCAAUUCCCAGCAAUCACAUGGAGGCUCACAACCAUCCGUUAUGAGAUCUGGUGCCCUCUUCUGGUGUGCAGACAUACAUGGAAGCAGAAUGUUGUGUACAUAAUAAAUAAAUAAAAUCUUUUAAAAAGAA